GCGGGUAUUGUAUAAUGGCUAUUAUGCGACCCUUCCAAGGUCGAGACGGGGGUUCGACUCCCCCUACCCGCUCCA
This 75-nucleotide transfer RNA is filed under the name Patescibacteria group bacterium. RNAcentral's name for it is "tRNA-Gly". It matches the Rfam family "tRNA". Rfam says of the family: Transfer RNA (tRNA) molecules are approximately 80 nucleotides in length. The record is from RNAcentral.